Molecule: long non-coding RNA, 846 nt
Organism: Lolium rigidum
Lineage: Eukaryota; Viridiplantae; Streptophyta; Magnoliopsida; Poales; Poaceae
Exons: 3
Source: RefSeq, a predicted model, not a curated record
AACCGGCGCGCCUCCCCAUGUCCCCGCACCAUUGGACCCUUCCUCCCCCGUGGUCUCGCGCCGGCUCCUGCAUGGUCGCUGCAAGAUUGGGCGCUCCUUCAUCCACAAGCCUUACUUCGUGCUGGAGACCUGGAGACCUGGCUGUUGUCACACUUCAAGCUCAAGCUUCAGCAUAAAAUGCCCAAGUUCCCCAUCAAGUCCCUCUACAUCGAUGGCAAACCCAAGGUCAAGGAGAGAGGCCUCAAGAUGCAGAAUGGCCAUAAGUUGAUGUAAGUGGAAGAUCUCUAAGCAGAGUCGGAGUGACAAAAAUAGCAGGACGGCCAUGCUGAAGCUUGGCAUGAAGUCCAUCACUGGUGUGAGCCAUGUAACUGUUAAGAAGAGCAAAAAAAAUCAUGUUUGCAUCUCCAAACCAGAUGUCUUCAAGAGACACCUAUGUCAUUUUGGGUGAGGCUGAGAUUGAGGAUCAGAGCUCACAGCUGCAGUCAGAGGACAAUUUCAAUUUAGGUAAUGGGCAUCUCUUUGCAUCAGUCGACCAGUAGGGCAGUUGGGCUCUUCUGUUAGAUGGGUAGUACAUGGUUAAUUUAAUUACAGAUUAAGCCACCUGCAUAUGAGAAGCAAAAUAUUUGGGUGCGGAGCGUAGUUAAACUUGGAUUGCGAAUGAUUGACACCUAUCUGAUCAAUCAAUUGGUCAUUUCUUUCAGGUAUUUGGCAAAAUAUGGCGACGAGGAUCAAUUGGUCUUGCUUAUUCAGAAACAGAUUCAAGAAGGUUAUACAAAUUAUUAGGUAUAGAUGUGUGUCCUGCAAUGUGAUAUAGCGGUGAAAUAGAUAUACACUGUUUGAAAAUGU